Molecule: ribosomal RNA, 497 nt
Filed under: uncultured bacterium
Lineage: Bacteria
Description: partial 16S ribosomal RNA
Rfam family: Bacterial small subunit ribosomal RNA
Source: RNAcentral
GAUGAACGCUGGCGGCGUGCCUAAUACAUGCAAGUCGAGCGAACAGACGAGGAGCUUGCUCCUCUGACGUUAGCGGCGGACGGGUGAGUAACACGUGGAUAACCUACCUAUAAGACUGGGAUAACUUCGGGAAACCGGAGCUAAUACCGGAUAAUAUAUUGAACCGCAUGGUUCAAUAGUGAAAGACGGUUUUGCUGUCACUUAUAGAUGGAUCCGCGCCGCAUUAGCUAGUUGGUAAGGUAACGGCUUACCAAGGCAACGAUGCGUAGCCGACCUGAGAGGGGGAUCGGCCACACUGGAACUGAGACACGGUCCAGACUCCUACGGGAGGCAGCAGUAGGGAAUCUUCCGCAAUGGGCGAAAGCCUGACGGAGCAACGCCGCGUGAGUGAUGAAGGUCUUCGGAUCGUAAAACUCUGUUAUUAGGGAAGAACAAAUGUGUAAGUAACUAUGCACGUCUUGACGGUACCUAAUCAGAAAGCCGCGGCUAACUACGUG